Molecule: long non-coding RNA, 1871 nt
Organism: Arvicanthis niloticus (Nile rat)
Lineage: Eukaryota; Metazoa; Chordata; Mammalia; Rodentia; Muridae
Source: RefSeq, a predicted model, not a curated record
AUAAAAGGCAAUCAAUAGAAAUUAAAAUCACAGUUAGGAUUAAUGAGUAACAUUUAUCUAAGUACCCGCCAAUAUUAUACACAGCUCCUUACUCAGCUUGAGGAAAGCCUGGGCUGGUUAAAGAAAGCAUGAAAACAAAGAAAAAUUCCUCCCUAUAACACAAUAGGAAUUGUAAGAAAUAUAUAUAUUACAAUUAUAGAGUUAUCCUAAAAUUUUAUCGUUUGUGAUUCUCAAAUGUGAUUUGAUUUUUAUCUUUUUGUUGGCUAGUAAACAUAGCCAAAUACCAGAUCUACAAAAAGAGUAAGGAUUGUGGAUUAAGAUGAAUGCAAUUUAACAGUGAAAUAUUAUAUAGAAGUGGAUGUUAUAAAUUGAAAAAAGGAAUAAGUUCCCUUAUUAUAGACAUAUUUUACCUCAUACUAAAAUAGGUAAGAAAUUCCUGAUUAUAUGUUGUGCCAUUCAGGAAGUUAAUACUUUUUAAUCAUAAUGUGUUAUUUUACAGUAAUAAUUGAAGAUUUGUGCAAGUGAAUUAAAGUAAAUUAUACAUGCUUGGAAAUUGCCACAUGAGACCAUCUAGAAUGAACAGUUUAUGCAAAAAAAACAUGUUCAGGAAGAAUAUAAAAAUUUUAACACUUGUAAAUAGAAGUAAGAUGAAAUUUGCCACCUGCCUUUGUACUUUAUGAGGGCAUUUGCAAAUAAACGUCAAAACAAGAAGAAAAUAUUGAAAAGACAAUUUGUGCCAUUUUUAUCAACAUCGUGGUAGUGCUGGAUUGCCUAUCCAACUCUGUAUUCCUAGCAGCCUUUAUGGAUUUUCAAACACUUCAGAGCCUAACACAUCAGCAAAGAGUAGUGCAUUAAGUAAUGAAAAUUAGAAGAUAUAAUUUCUGGUGCUCAUGAUGACUUACUAGCCCUAGCCUGAAAGCAGCUGAGAACAUUUACAUUUCUGAAAACUAGAAGUAAGAAAGGAUUUGACUUUUUUCCCAUUAGGUCAAGAAAGGUAGUUGCCAAGUUGGAUAGAUAUUGGUUCUACAGCCAUUAUAAUGAUCUGAAAGGUUGAAGAAGGUGUUGCAUGAACACUCUUGUGAAUCACUGUAGUAGAACUCAAGUAAUUGGAGGGAGACUGGAAUGUUGAUUUGAAGACAAUUUAUAAAGAUUUUCUCAUUGCCACUGUUGCAUUAACACAAGAAGUGGAGUCACUACUAUGCGGAUAAGAACUGUAUGAUUGGAUUGACAUUGGCAUCAUCCCAUUGUUUUCAUAAGUAUGAAGUGUAUUUCAUGAUAUUUUUGAAAUUAAUUGUAGAGAAUUUUUAAUUGAUUUUUCUUUUUCUCAAAGGGUUUAAGUAAUGUGUAGCAUAGUCUGGCUCGAGUGGUGACAUAAUAGAAAUAUACCAAAUACAGUUAGAACAGUAUUAGAUGAAACUAUAGUGCAUUCCAAAGUUUUUUUUGGGGAGGGGUGGUAUAUUUUAUUGGAUUUUAUUUAUAAAUACUUGUUAUAACUGUAGCUUUUAAUUGUUUGAGAUAAUAGCUUACAGUUAUGUGCCAAAAUUCUAUUACUUUGAAGUACAUUGACAUGGUAUAUCAAGUCUACAAAUGAUUAAGUGCCUUAGCAGGAUUAAUGAAUUUGGCCAUUACAAUGACAAGAAUUUUAGUCGGCAGUAUUCUCAUAUAUUUAUGUAUUUAUUUAUGUAUUUGUUUAUGUAUUUGUUCAUGUAUUUAUUAAAUCAUCAUGCUACUCAUUUUUGUUCAUUGUUUAUAAGUGCAUUUAUAAAUGAGUCUGUAAGCAUGUCAUCUUGCAUGUCAGAUGAAAUACUGUGUCUUUUCUAUCACUCUAUUUUAUUACUAAGUUGUACAUAAAUUAUGUAUUAAAUACAAAA